AUGAUGCUUAUCAACUGGUCCAUUCGGAACGAGCGAAAUGCCCAGAUUUUUCGGAAGAAAUCAAUGCCACCUCCAAUCAUCGUUGCAAACAUCAAGAGUGAUGCUGAUCUUUGGGAAAUCACGGGAGCUAAAAUUUUGAGUGAUAUCUUACCGGGGUCCGGGGGAGUAGUCCCCGUUCAUAAUAUUUGGCGCGAGUACGCCGGAGAUCCAGGCCGGCCGGAGGUCAUGCAUCACGAGCGGAUCCGGAUCGACUCCGAUCUGACGCGGGGAGCCCGGGGCCUCCCAGCGCCAAGACGCGCCCACCGGGACCUCGCUGCCCGCGCAGCCGAAGGGAACCGGCCUACCUCACCGACAAUCACUCCCCGCCGCCGGGGGAGCGCCGUCCGCACCAGCGAGGCCGCCGCCUCAGAUCCGGACUCUCACCACCGAAAGGGAGCGAUCUCGCCCCGCUGCCACCAUCCCGGGAGCCGGCGCCGGCUUCGCCGGCCGUUCCUCCGGUGGCGGCGAGGUUGGGAUGGAGAUGGGAAUGGUGAAGGGCGGCUAGAUCUGGGUUCCCCCGUCGCCGCCAGGGAGGGCGGCGCGGGGGACGGGUCAAUCAUACAUCACACAAUCACCGUGUUUUCCCAACAAGAAUUUUCAUCGACAGUGUUCUCCCACAUGUCGUCCGUGCACGCACAACCCGGGAAGCUGCUGCUCCAUUCUGCACCCACCAUGUACGGCUCUUCUCAAUAA
RNAcentral lists this ribosomal RNA (732 nucleotides) under Triticum aestivum (bread wheat). RNAcentral describes it as "partial small subunit ribosomal RNA". Lineage: Eukaryota; Viridiplantae; Streptophyta; Magnoliopsida; Poales; Poaceae. The record is from RNAcentral.